This is a long non-coding RNA of Humulus lupulus (European hop), 211 nucleotides long. RefSeq lists it as uncharacterized. The transcript is spliced from 3 exons. Lineage: Eukaryota; Viridiplantae; Streptophyta; Magnoliopsida; Rosales; Cannabaceae. The record is from RefSeq and is a predicted model, not a curated record.
UUGGUUUCACAGGGAAGAAUGAGAUUAUAAAUGGGAAGGCAGCUGUAAUUGGGUUCUUGCUGUUGUUGGAUUUUGAGCUAUUGACUAGUAAAGGACUUGGCAUUUGGUUUAUCACUUUCAGCACUGCUUGGGGAUAAUAUCUACAACUUUGGCGAGCUGCUGGCACAUCCUAUUAGUUAAUUUAACAGAUGGUCUUGAAGGGCUGGCUGGA